GGAUACAGCUCAAGUGGUAGAGUGUAUGCUUAGCAUGCACGAGGUCCUGGGUUCAAUCCCCAGUAUCUCCA
RNAcentral lists this transfer RNA (71 nucleotides) under Camelus bactrianus (Bactrian camel). It matches the Rfam family "tRNA". From Rfam's summary of the family: Transfer RNA (tRNA) molecules are approximately 80 nucleotides in length. Their secondary structure includes four short double-helical elements and three loops (D, anti-codon, and T loops). Further hydrogen bonds mediate the characteristic L-shaped molecular structure. tRNAs have two regions of fundamental functional importance: the anti-codon, which is responsible for specific mRNA codon recognition, and the 3' end, to which the tRNAs corresponding amino acid is attached (by aminoacyl-tRNA synthetases). tRNAs cope with the degeneracy of the genetic code in two manners: having more than one tRNA (with a specific anti-codon) for a particular amino acid; and 'wobble' base-pairing, i.e. permitting non-standard base-pairing at the 3rd anti-codon position. The record is from Rfam by way of RNAcentral. RNAcentral also lists the same sequence under 2 other names. Lineage: Eukaryota; Metazoa; Chordata; Mammalia; Artiodactyla; Camelidae.